CCCAAAAAUACUAGUGUAAAACCAUUCAAACGGGAAAACCAACGGUCUAAUCUAUAUAAAAUAAAACUAGAGGCUCUAAAGAGCCUGUGUCGCUCACCUUGGUCUAUGUGAAUAUUAAACAAAGGAAGCAAAUGGAUUCAUGACAAAAUUGUGUUUUGGUGAUGGUGAUGUGUUUGUACAUCUUACUUUACUGAACAUUCUUGCUGCUUACAAUUAUCUCUAUCUAUAAUGAACUUGGCCCAGUAGUUUCAGUGGAAAAUGUUAGUUAAAAUUUACAAAUUUUAUGAAAAUUGUUAAAAAUUGACUAUAAAGGACAAUAACUCCUUAGGGGUCAAUUGACCAUUUCCGUCAUGUUGACUUAUUUGUAAAUCUUACUUUGCUUAACAUUAUUGAUGUUUACAGUUUAUCUCUAUCUAUAAUAAUAUUCAAGAUAAUAACCAAAAACAGCAAAAUUUCCUUAAAAUUACCAAUUCAGGGGCAGCAAUCCAACAACGGGUUGUCAGAUUCAUCUGAAAAUUUCAGGGCAGAUAGAUCUUGACCUGAUAAACAAUUUUACCUGAUGUCAGAUUUGCUCUAAAGGCUGCGGUUUCAGAGUUAUAAGCCAAAAUCUACA
RNAcentral lists this long non-coding RNA (613 nucleotides) under Mytilus galloprovincialis (Mediterranean mussel). The record is from RNAcentral. Lineage: Eukaryota; Metazoa; Mollusca; Bivalvia; Mytilida; Mytilidae.